CCUACGGGUGGCAGCAGUGAGGAAUAUUGGUCAAUGGACGAGAGUCUGAACCAGCCAAGUAGCGUGAAGGAUGACUGCCCUAUGGGUUGUAAACUUCUUUUAUAAAGGAAUAAAACGAGGCACGUGUGCCUUUUUGCAUGUACUUUAUGAAUAAGGAUCGGCUAACUCCGUGCCAGCAGCCGCGGUAAUACGGAGGAUCCGAGCGUUAUCCGGAUUUAUUGGGUGUAAAGGGAGCGUAGAUGGGUUGUUAAGUCAGUUGUGAAAGUUUGCGGCUCAACCGUAAAAUUGCAAUUGAUACUGGCAGUCUUGAGUACAGUAGAGGUAGGCGGAAUUCGUGGUGUAGCGGUGAAAUGCUUAGAUAUCACGAAGAACCCCGAUUGCGAAGGCAGCUUACUAAACUGUGACUGACAUUGAUGCUCGAAGGUGUGGGUAGCAAACAGGAUUAGAUACCCUAGUAGUC
RNAcentral lists this ribosomal RNA (460 nucleotides) under uncultured bacterium. RNAcentral's name for it is "partial 16S ribosomal RNA". It matches the Rfam family "Bacterial small subunit ribosomal RNA", at positions 338 to 795 of the family's 1533-position model. The record is from RNAcentral.